RNAcentral lists this ribosomal RNA (1589 nucleotides) under Pluvianus aegyptius (crocodile bird). Its description in RNAcentral is "16S ribosomal RNA". It matches the Rfam family "Bacterial large subunit ribosomal RNA", at positions 378 to 2836 of the family's 2925-position model. Lineage: Eukaryota; Metazoa; Chordata; Aves; Charadriiformes; Glareolidae. The record is from RNAcentral.
AGCCUACUCUAGCCCAAUCCCCCCCUAAACCCAACUAUCUACCAACCUCACUUUCUACUUAAACUAAAUCAUUCUCUCAACCUAGUAUAGGCGAUAGAAAAGUCACUUGGCGCUAUAGAAGAUAGUACCGUAAGGGAAAGAUGAAAUAGCAAUGAAAACCUAAGCACUAAACAGCAAAGAUAAACCCUUGUACCUUUUGCAUCAUGAUUUAACAAGAAUAACCAAGCAAAGCGCACUUAAGCUUGCCAUCCCGAAACCCAAGCGAGCUACUUACAAGCAGUUACCUAUGAACGAACCCGUCUCUGUUGCAAAAGAGUGGGAUGACUUGUUAGUAGAGGUGAAAAGCCAACCGAGCUGGGUGAUAGCUGGUUGCCUGUGAAAUGAAUCUAAGUUCCUCCUUGACCUUCCUCUAUGGACAAAAGUCUAACCCUCAAUGUAGCAGGUCAAGAGUAAUUUAAAGGAGGUACAGCUCCUUUAAAAAAGAACACAAUCUCCUCUAGAGGAUAAUCACUUUCAAUCAAUCCAAAACUGUAGGCCUUUAAGCAGCCAUCAACAAAGAGUGCGUCAAAGCUCCUUAUACAAAGAUCCAUAGCACAACAUGACUCCCUUCUCACUAACAGGCUAACCUAUAUGACAUAGGAGAAUCAAUGUUAAAAUGAGUAACUAGGGAACUAUCCCCUCUUAAGCGCAAACUUACAUCCAUACAAUCAUUAACGGACACAAUCAAUACCUAAACUUUAACAAGACCAAGAUAUUUUUCCCAUCCGUUAUCCCAACCCAGGAGCGCACACUAGAAAGAUUUAAAUCUGUAAAAGGAACUAGGCAAACCCAGGGCCCGACUGUUUACCAAAAACAUAGCCUUCAGCCUAACCAAGUAUUGAAGGUGAUGCCUGCCCAGUGACAUAACGUUCAACGGCCGCGGUAUCCUAACCGUGCAAAGGUAGCGCAAUCAAUUGUCCCAUAAAUCGAGACUUGUAUGAACGGCUAAACGAGGUCCUAACUGUCUCUUACAGAUAAUCAGUGAAAUUGAUCUUCCCGUGCAAAAGCGGGAAUAAUUACAUAAGACGAGAAGACCCUGUGGAACUUAAAAAUCAACGGCCACUAUACAUAAACUAAACCCUAUCAGGCUUACUCCCACAAACAUUGGCCCGCAUUUUUCGGUUGGGGCGACCUUGGAGAAAAACAAAUCCUCCAAAAAUAAGGCCACACCCCUUAACUAAGAGCAACCCCUCAAUGUACUAAAAGUUACCAGACCCAAUACAUUUGAUCAAUGGACCAAGCUACCCCAGGGAUAACAGCGCAAUCUCCUCCAAGAGCCCACAUCGACGAGGAGGUUUACGACCUCGAUGUUGGAUCAGGACAUCCUAAUGGUGCAACCGCUAUUAAGGGUUCGUUUGUUCAACGAUUAACAGUCCUACGUGAUCUGAGUUCAGACCGGAGCAAUCCAGGUCGGUUUCUAUCUAUGAGAAACUUCCCCCAGUACGAAAGGACCGGGAAAGUGAGGCCAAUGCUACAAGUAUGCCCCCCUACAAGUAAUGAAUUUAACUUAAUUACUAAAAAGCCACCCCCCCCAUUCCUAGAAAAGGACC